Molecule: ribosomal RNA, 491 nt
Filed under: uncultured bacterium
Lineage: Bacteria
Description: bacterial SSU rRNA
Rfam family: Bacterial small subunit ribosomal RNA
Source: RNAcentral
GAUGAACGCUAGCGGCAGGCUUAAUACAUGCAAGUCGUGGGGCAGCAGGUUCCGAGCAAUCGGAAUGCUGGCGACCGGCAAACGGGUGCGGAACACGUACACAACCUUCCUUUUAGUGGAGAAUAGCCCAGGGAAACUUGGAUUAAUACUCCGUAACAUAUAGAAGUGGCAUCACUUUUAUAUUAAAGCAGCAAUGCGCUAGAAGAUGGGUGUGCGGCUGAUUAGAUAGUUGGCGGGGUAACGGCCCACCAAGUCGACGAUCAGUAACUGGUGUGAGAGCACGACCAGUCACACGGGCACUGAGACACGGGCCCGACUCCUACGGGAGGCAGCAGUAAGGAAUAUUGGUCAAUGGACGCAAGUCUGAACCAGCCAUGCCGCGUGGAGGAUGAAGGUCCUCUGGAUUGUAAACUUCUUUUAUUUGGGAAGAAACCCAUCUUUUCUUGGAUGGCUGACGGUACCAGAUGAAUAAGCACCGGCUAACUCCGUGC